AUUGAACGCUGGCGGCAUGCCUUACACAUGCAAGUCGAACGGCAGCACGGGUGCUUGCCCCUGGUGGCGAGUGGCGAACGGGUGAGUAAUACAUCGGAACAUGUCCUGUAGUGGGGGAUAGCCCGGCGAAAGCCGGAUUAAUACCGCAUACGAUCUACGGAUGAAAGCGGGGGACCUUCGGGCCUCGCGCUAUAGGGUUGGCCGAUGGCUGAUUAGCUAGUUGGUGGGGUAAAGGCCUACCAAGGCGACGAUUAGUAGCUGGUCUGAGAGGACGACCAGCCACACUGGGACUGAGACACGGCCCAGACUCCUACGGGAGGCAGCAGUGGGGAAUUUUGGACAAUGGGCGAAAGCCUGAUCCAGCAAUGCCGCGUGUGUGAAGAAGGCCUUCGGGUUGUAAAGCACUUUUGUCCGGAAAGAAAUCCUUGGCCCUAAUACGGUCGGGGGAUGACGGUACCGGAAGAAUAAGCACCGGCUAACUACGUG
This 486-nucleotide ribosomal RNA is filed under the name uncultured bacterium. Its description in RNAcentral is "partial 16S ribosomal RNA". It matches the Rfam family "Bacterial small subunit ribosomal RNA", at positions 30 to 507 of the family's 1533-position model. The record is from RNAcentral.